AACAGCAGGCUCAGGACAUCGAGUUGUUCUACCGCGGAAAGAAAAACGGGUGCUGGACUCAGACCCAAGGUUAACAGCCGACCGGGUCCCAUCCUCACGCUUCGGGGGCGUCACCUUCAUUCUCUGCGACGGGAUAAAGAUCAAUGAAAUGGAAGCGAUACACCUAAUAAGGUUCUCACCCCAGAAUGGUGAAAAUUGGUUCUGGCAUUCGAAGGGCGAGCUUUCUAGAACUGGAUCCGAGGAGGAAGCAGCACGUUUUCGAAUAAAACAGGAGAAAUGAGGCUUCGGUUCCUGCUUUACAUUCUCGGAUAACAGCACGGGCAAGGCGGUGGGUACGUGCGUGCCCUGCGUGGCAUUAGUGACCAUACAAUCGCUAAUGGAAGAAAUAGGACUCUUGUCUUUUACGGAUCCCCAAAGGCACCGGAAAUACCAACAUUCCGCCGCCAUUAUAAAUAAUUAUAGGAUGUACUGGUGAUGCUGAAAUUCCUUAUUUACAAGUCGUCCUAGCAGCCUGGGAGUGUCCGUUCCUGGUCAUGGCUAAUACUUUAAAAAUUAACUACAGAGACCUCUUCGGACCAGCCCUGUCUGUGAACUACACAUACAGUACGGUGUUUUGUUGUUUUAAUAAUUAUGGUUCUGGUCUCUGUGAUUGAUGUUUGGUCUUUAUUCUCUGGUAUCCAUUGUUUUUCAAUGAAUAGGGCAGAAGAGAAUUUCAGUUAGGAAGGUCUUUUACCUAAUGAGAGAUGAGAAAUGCAAUCGUGGAAGGGUUUGCCUAUUCCUUUCGCUGGUAAAUACUCCUUUGAAGUUGU
Aethalodelphis obliquidens (Pacific white-sided dolphin) is the source of this 809-nucleotide long non-coding RNA. RefSeq lists it as uncharacterized. Lineage: Eukaryota; Metazoa; Chordata; Mammalia; Artiodactyla; Delphinidae. The transcript has 2 exons. The record is from RefSeq and is a predicted model, not a curated record.